AGAGUUUGAUCCUGGCUCAGAUGAACGCUGGCGGCAGGCCUAACACAUGCAAGUCGAGCGGAUGAAGGGAGCUUGCUCCUGGAUUCAGCGGCGGACGGGUGAGUAAUGCCUAGGAAUCUGCCUGGUAGUGGGGGAUAACGUCCGGAAACGGGCGCUAAUACCGCAUACGUCCUGAGGGAGAAAGUGGGGGAUCUUCGGACCUCACGCUAUCAGAUGAGCCUAGGUCGGAUUAGCUAGUUGGUGGGGUAAAGGCCUACCAAGGCGACGAUCCGUAACUGGUCUGAGAGGAUGAUCAGUCACACUGGAACUGAGACACGGUCCAGACUCCUACGGGAGGCAGCAGUGGGGAAUAUUGGACAAUGGGCGAAAGCCUGAUCCAGCCAUGCCGCGUGUGUGAAGAAGGUCUUCGGAUUGUAAAGCACUUUAAGUUGGGAGGAAGGGCAGUAAGUUAAUACCUUGCUGUUUUGACGUUACCAACAGAAUAAGCACCGGCUAACUUCGUGCCAGCAGCCGCGGU
RNAcentral lists this ribosomal RNA (517 nucleotides) under Pseudomonas aeruginosa. RNAcentral describes it as "bacterial SSU rRNA". It matches the Rfam family "Bacterial small subunit ribosomal RNA", at positions 8 to 521 of the family's 1533-position model. Lineage: Bacteria; Pseudomonadati; Pseudomonadota; Gammaproteobacteria; Pseudomonadales; Pseudomonadaceae. The record is from RNAcentral.